RNAcentral lists this ribosomal RNA (162 nucleotides) under Prionosciadium turneri. RNAcentral's name for it is "5.8S ribosomal RNA". It matches the Rfam family "5.8S ribosomal RNA". Rfam says of the family: 5.8S ribosomal RNA (5.8S rRNA) is a component of the large subunit of the eukaryotic ribosome. It is transcribed by RNA polymerase I as part of the 45S precursor that also contains 18S and 28S rRNA. Functionally, it is thought that 5.8S rRNA may be involved in ribosome translocation. Lineage: Eukaryota; Viridiplantae; Streptophyta; Magnoliopsida; Apiales; Apiaceae. The record is from RNAcentral. RNAcentral also lists the same sequence under 14 other names.
AACGACUCUCGACAACGGAUAUCUCGGCUCUCGCAUCGAUGAAGAACGUAGCGAAAUGCGAUACUUGGUGUGAAUUGCAGAAUCCCGUGAACCAUCGAGUCUUUGAACGCAAGUUGCGCCCGAAGCCACUAGGCCGAGGGCACGCCUGCCUGGGUGUCACGC